RNAcentral lists this ribosomal RNA (306 nucleotides) under uncultured Planctomycetota bacterium. RNAcentral's name for it is "bacterial SSU rRNA". It matches the Rfam family "Bacterial small subunit ribosomal RNA", at positions 29 to 351 of the family's 1533-position model. Lineage: Bacteria; Pseudomonadati; Planctomycetota. The record is from RNAcentral.
AAUGAACGUUGGCGGCAUGGAUUAGGCAUGCAAGUCGAGCGCGAACCGUAGCAAUACGGGGAAAGCGGCGAAAGGGAGAGUAAUGUGUGGAUAUCUACCUCCAGGCCUGGGACAACUACGGGAAACUGUAGCUAAUACCAGAUAAUGUCUGCGGACCAAAGGUGUGAUUCCUCCGGGAGAUGAGUCCACAUCCUAUUAGCUAGUUGGUAGGGUAAUGGCCUACCAAGGCAAUGAUGGGUAGCAGGUGUGAGAGCACGACCUGCCUCAUUGGGACUGAGACACUGCCCAGACACCUACGGGUGGCAG